RNAcentral lists this unclassified non-coding RNA (272 nucleotides) under Physciaceae sp. Its description in RNAcentral is "partial contains 5.8S ribosomal RNA, internal transcribed spacer 2, and large subunit ribosomal RNA". Lineage: Eukaryota; Fungi; Ascomycota; Lecanoromycetes; Caliciales; Physciaceae. The record is from RNAcentral.
CGCACAUUGCGCCCCCUGGUAUUCCAAGGGGCACGCCUGUUCGAGCGUCAUAACACCCCUCAGACCCCGCUGGGUCUGGUCUUGGGCGGAUGCCCCCCCGGCCUCCGGGCCCAGGGGGCAGGCCCCAAACGUGUCGGCGGCGGUACUGUAUUCCGCGAGCGUGACGGACUCACGACCUACGUGGGCGGUCCGCCGGCCCAACCCCAUCCCACGGCCCCUGGCGGCCGCGUUUAUUGGACCUCGGAUCAGGCGGGGAUACCCGCUGAACUUAA